This 303-nucleotide ribosomal RNA is filed under the name uncultured bacterium. RNAcentral's name for it is "partial 16S ribosomal RNA". It matches the Rfam family "Bacterial small subunit ribosomal RNA", at positions 507 to 807 of the family's 1533-position model. The record is from RNAcentral.
AGCAGUAGCCGCGGUAAUACGUAGGUGGCAAGCGUUGUCCGGAAUUAUUGGGCGUAAAGGGCUCGCAGGCGGUUUCUUAAGUCUGAUGUGAAAGCCCCCGGCUCAACCGGGGAGGGUCAUUGGAAACUGGGAAACUUGAGUGCAGAGGAGGAGAGUGGAAUUCCGCGUGUAGCGGUGAAAUGCGUAGAGAUGUGGAGGAACACCAGUGGCGAAGGCGACUCUCUGGUCUGCAACUGACGCUGAGGAGCGAAAGCGUGGGGAGCGAACAGGAUUAGAUACCCGGGUAGUCCCUGUCUCUUAUAC